Molecule: long non-coding RNA, 750 nt
Organism: Prionailurus viverrinus (fishing cat)
Lineage: Eukaryota; Metazoa; Chordata; Mammalia; Carnivora; Felidae
Exons: 4
Source: RefSeq, a predicted model, not a curated record
UGCUCUGUGCCCUGAGCAGUCCGCAGGGAGCCUCGCCAGCUCCGGGGGCCACUAUGUGGCUGUCCUGGAGGCUGGUACCACAGGAGCCAUAGAGGCACGUGCAAGAGAAACCACAGAUCAAGACUGCUUUAGGGCCUUGACGCCCUAAAGCAAAUGCUUGACGCCCACCAUGGCAACCCUGACAAGCGAGAGAGGGGCAUCUGCCAACAUCUGGAUUAGUUUGUCAGGCAUGAAAGGGGACCCACUGCAGAAAGGUAUUUCCAUCAGGAACCCAUCGCAUGAUUGGACACCACAGGAGCAGCAGAACUUCAAGAUCGAAAAGACAGUGGGAAGCAUUGUGCUAAGUUCUGACCAAAACAACUGUUGUCUCUACUUUCAUGGAUCUUGUGAUGAAACAGGAGAUAGUCAUGAAACCCACAAUCACACAGAUGACCACUGAAGCCGGUGUCCUUGAUGCAGUUCCAGGGGUUAAUAGCUGAAAUCAAGAUGUCACAGCUCAGCUGAUUUUUUCCAAUAAAGACCACAUUGUCUACAACCAUGGCAACUGAAGUCACCACUUGAUUAAACUUAGAUCUGCCAUUCUCCAAACUAGAGCCAACCUGUUCUCAGUGAAAGAAGCAAGUGAAAUGGGGAUAACAUAGAAAUCACUAUCCCUACAACUUAACUCUGGGUAACUCUUGGUAAGUGGCUAUGACACUCCAUUGUCAUAAUUAAAGCCAGGCUCUCAUUUGUCAUACCUGGGUCAUUUCU